Molecule: long non-coding RNA, 1446 nt
Organism: Myodes glareolus (Bank vole)
Lineage: Eukaryota; Metazoa; Chordata; Mammalia; Rodentia; Cricetidae
Source: RefSeq, a predicted model, not a curated record
AUGACUACAAUGUGACAGGCAAUCUUAAAUUCCGCUGUCCUGACUUCCCCUCAGUGAUGGACUAUGACCUGGAGCUAUGAAGCAGAAAAAACCCUUCCUCCCCUAAACUGCUCCGUUAGGGCAUUUUAUCACAGUUACCGGAAAAGAAACCAAGGAAGUAAUUAUAUAAUAGAAGUGAAGAAUGUUCCAACUAUAUGAUCAAGAGAAGCCUGCAAUCUGCCCAAGAGUAUCAGAUGGGAAACCCGUGGAAGAUUAAAUGACAGUCAGAGAAAACAAUAGGACCGCUGCUUCCUCGCCGGUGAGCCUUACAGAGGGGCCUGCCUACUCGGCAGCCUUAGCGCCUCUGCUGAAGCCACUGUGGCACACACAGACUGAACACAGACUGAAGGGGCACACUCCAGGAGGCAGGCCACAGAAAGACCUCUUGUUCAGCCUGGGGCACACUGAACUUUCCGUCUGGGGUUGCUGUUGUGACAUCUGGUCAGUCCAUGUUGGAUCCUGGCCCUCUAGGACCUCUAGCUCCUGUGGCAUCCUGUUAGUCAGCCAGGCUGUGUGUCUUUAAGGCCUGGGAUGACGGCCCUUGAAUCUCCUGAAGAGCAUGGCAAAGAAAAGGAAUGAAUAAGUCUGUGUGUGUGUGUGUGUGUGUGUGUGUGUGUGUGUGUGUGUGUGUGUGUAAGAAAGAGAAUCUUGGAACAUGGACAGAGUGUCACACUUACACACAGAAUCCCCAUCGCAUGUUGUGUUCUUGGAAGCCACUGAACAGGAAGUGAAUCAAGGGUAACUGAAUGGAAGUAAAAAGAGAUGGGACUGAGGGAAGAAGGGAAUCAAGACUGCAGAGAAGAGGAGGACCCGUCGUUCCUUGUUCUUCCACCAGGGGGCGCAGGAGGCUAGUAGACUGCACCUUGAGACUCCCACAAAAUCCUCAAGAGGAUUGGCAGUGUACCCCUCCACAGAAAGGAAGCUGCGUAGUCCGAGAGAGGAAGCACACAACACAGACUUGCCUGCAGCUGCAGGUCGCAGUCUGGCUUCAUCUGUCUGGCACAGUGGGGUAGGAAGGGAUUUUGGUGCCGUUGGCAAGUCUACCUUGAAACAGGUUGAUUCUUGCAGCCAGAGGCAACUGCUGGGGUCUAGUCAAUCCAGAACUGGCUUGAAUUCCUUCACCCAUGAUGUCAUGAGCCAUGGGAAGGUUAUUCACACAGAGUUCUGUAAAUCCACCCCUACCACGUACACCUUCUACCUUGAACUAGUCAAGGCCAGCCCCCACCCACCCCCAGCUCUGGCUCUCGUUCUGAGAACCAGUCUUACGUUAGGCCCUGGGACACAGUGAGGAACAGGACACAUCCUGCCCUCCAGGCACCUCACUCAAAAGGCAGUGGCAGUGGUGGCGCACACCUUUAAUCCCUGCAUUUGGGCAGAGGCAGGUGGAUCUCUGCGAGUUCAAGGCCA